Molecule: ribosomal RNA, 730 nt
Filed under: Pseudomonas sp.
Lineage: Bacteria; Pseudomonadati; Pseudomonadota; Gammaproteobacteria; Pseudomonadales; Pseudomonadaceae
Description: bacterial SSU rRNA
Rfam family: Bacterial small subunit ribosomal RNA
Source: RNAcentral
UGGCUCAGAUUGAACGCUGGCGGCAGGCCUAACACAUGCAAGUCGAGCGGAUGAAGAGAGCUUGCUCUCUGAUUUAGCGGCGGACGGGUGAGUAAUGCCUAGGAAUCUGCCUGGUAGUGGGGGAUAACGUUCCGAAAGGAACGCUAAUACCGCGUACGUCCUACGGGAGAAAGCAGGGGACCUUCGGGCCUUGCGCUAUCAGAUGAGCCUAGGUCGGAUUAGCUAGUUGGUGAGGUAAUGGCUCACCAAGGCGACGAUCCGUAACUGGUCUGAGAGGAUGAUCAGUCACACUGGAACUGAGACACGGUCCAGACUCCUACGGGAGGCAGCAGUGGGGAAUAUUGGACAAUGGGCGAAAGCCUGAUCCAGCCAUGCCGCGUGUGUGAAGAAGGUCUUCGGAUUGUAAAGCACUUUAAGUUGGGAGGAAGGGCGUUUGGCUAAUAUCCAGGCGUUUUGACGUUACCAACAGAAUAAGCACCGGCUAACUUCGUGCCAGCAGCCGCGGUAAUACGAAGGGUGCAAGCGUUAAUCGGAAUUACUGGGCGUAAAGCGCGCGUAGGUGGUUCGUUAAGUUGGAUGUGAAAGCCCCGGGCUCAACCUGGGAACUGCAUCCAAAACUGGCGAGCUAGAGUACGGUAGAGGGUAGUGGAAUUUCCUGUGUAGCGGUGAAAUGCGUAGAUAUAGGAAGGAACACCAGUGGCGAAGGCGACUACCUGGACUGAUACUGACA